RNAcentral lists this ribosomal RNA (446 nucleotides) under uncultured bacterium. RNAcentral describes it as "partial 16S ribosomal RNA". It matches the Rfam family "Bacterial small subunit ribosomal RNA", at positions 338 to 795 of the family's 1533-position model. The record is from RNAcentral.
CCUACGGGUGGCAGCAGUCGAGAAUCAUUCACAAUGGGGGAAACCCUGAUGGUGCGACGCCGCGUGGGGGAAUGAAGGUCUUCGGAUUGUAAACCCCUGUCAUGUGGGAGCAAAUUAAAAAGAUAGUACCACAAGAGGAAGAGACGGCUAACUCUGUGCCAGCAGCCGCGGUAAUACAGAGGUCUCAAGCGUUGUUCGGAAUCACUGGGCGUAAAGCGUGCGUAGGCUGUUUCGUAAGUCGUGUGUGAAAGGCGCGGGCUCAACCCGCGGACGGCACAUGAUACUGCGAGACUAGAGUAAGGGAGGGGGAACCGGAAUUCUCGGGGUAGCAGUGAAAUGCGUAGAUAUCGAGAGGAACACUCGUGGCGAAGGCGGGUUCCUGGACAUUAACUGACGCUGAGGCACGAAGGCCAGGGGAGCGAAAGGGAUUAGAUACCCUAGUAGUC